GGAAACAGCAUGAUUCUCCAGACAAAGCCAGGAAGAAUGCUCUGAUUUUCUUAUGCAGAUAUUUCCUCAAGAGUGAGUGCUUCCAGAAUAUGUGCUGUUUUUGCUUCCACUUAGCAUCAUUCCAAAUUACAGAAGUGAAAACUCCAUAUUGGAUCAUGCAGUGUAGCGUUUGCUCAGAACUUCCUUCUGUUAGUAUAGAUUAGAGCCACGAAAGGAAGACACUGUUCAUUUUAUAAUCAAAGGACGUUCACUGCUUCUGCUCUGAUAGACUUCUCCUCCGGGCACUGUGACAUGUCGGCUGCUCAGCCUCUGCAAGGCCAGGCAGGUUUG
Molecule: long non-coding RNA, 330 nt
Filed under: Dasypus novemcinctus (nine-banded armadillo)
Lineage: Eukaryota; Metazoa; Chordata; Mammalia; Cingulata; Dasypodidae
Description: lncRNA (ENSDNOG00000049983.1)
Source: RNAcentral